AUUGAACGCUGGCGGCAUGCUUUACACAUGCAAGUCGAGCGGCAGCGCGGGGGCAACCCUGGCGGCGAGCGGCGAACGGGUGAGUAAUGCAUCGGAACGUAUCCUGGAGUGGGGGAUAACCCAGCGAAAGUUGGGCUAAUACCGCAUGAGCUCUGAGGAGGAAAGCGGGGGACCUGCGAGGGCCUCGCGCUGGAGGAGCGGCCGAUGUCCGAUUAGCUAGUUGGUGGGGUAAAGGCUUACCAAGGCGACGAUCGGUAGCUGGUCUGAGAGGAUGAUCAGCCACACUGGGACUGAGACACGGCCCAGACUCCUACGGGAGGCAGCAGUGGGGAAUUUUGGACAAUGGGGGCAACCCUGAUCCAGCCAUGCCGCGUGAGUGAAGAAGGCCUUCGGGUUGUAAAGCUCUUUCGGACGGAACGAAAUGGGCGGGACUAAUACUCCUGUCUGAUGACGGUACCGUAAGAAGAAGCACCGGCUAACUACGUG
This 486-nucleotide ribosomal RNA is filed under the name uncultured bacterium. Its description in RNAcentral is "partial 16S ribosomal RNA". It matches the Rfam family "Bacterial small subunit ribosomal RNA", at positions 29 to 507 of the family's 1533-position model. The record is from RNAcentral.